ACUUCAGGACGGGGACAACAGUUGGAAACGACUGCCAAUACCCGAUGUGCCGCAAGGUGAAACCUAAUUGGCCUGAAGAAGAGCUUGCGUCUGAUUAGCUAGUUGGUGGGGUAAGAGCCUACCAAGGCGACGAUCAGUAGCUGGUCUGAGAGGAUGAGCAGCCACACUGGGACUGAGACACGGCCCAGACUCCUACGGGAGGCAGCAGUGGGGAAUUUUCCGCAAUGGGCGAAAGCCUGACGGAGCAACGCCGCGUGAGGGAGGAAGGUCUUUGGAUUGUAAACCUCUUUUCUCAAGGAAGAAGUUCUGACGGUACUUGAGGAAUCAGCCUCGGCUAACUCCGUGCCAGCAGCCGCGGUAAUACGGGGGAGGCAAGCGUUAUCCGGAAUUAUUGGGCGUAAAGCGUCCGCAGGUGGUCAGCCAAGUCUGCCGUCAAAUCAGGUUGCUUAACGACCUA
RNAcentral lists this ribosomal RNA (457 nucleotides) under Microcystis aeruginosa. Its description in RNAcentral is "bacterial SSU rRNA". It matches the Rfam family "Bacterial small subunit ribosomal RNA", at positions 129 to 619 of the family's 1533-position model. The record is from RNAcentral. Lineage: Bacteria; Bacillati; Cyanobacteriota; Cyanophyceae; Chroococcales; Microcystaceae.